UUAAAUGGCCGCGGUACCCUAACCGUGCGAAGGUAGCAUAAUCACUUGUUCGUUAAAUCCGGACUAGUAUGAACGGCCCCACGAGGGUUGCACUGUCUCCCUACUUUAAUCAAUUAAACUAAUCUCCCCGUGAAGAAGCGGGGAUCAAAAUAUAAGACGAGAAGACCCCAUGGAGCUUAAAACCCAGAACCAACUACUAAAAAUUUUCAUUAAAACCCGUAUACCUGGCCCCUGGUUUUUGGUUGGGGCGACCGCGGAGUAAAACACAUCCUCCACGAUGAAUAGACAUUUUACUUAAGAGCUACACCUCUAAAGAUCCUAAAUAAGACAUUCACUGACCCAAACACUUGAUCAACGAACCUAGUUACCCUGGGGAUAACAGCGCAAUCCAUUUCAAGAGCCCCUAUCGACAAAUGGGUUUACGACCUCGA
Molecule: ribosomal RNA, 431 nt
Filed under: Callulina kisiwamsitu
Lineage: Eukaryota; Metazoa; Chordata; Amphibia; Anura; Brevicipitidae
Description: partial 16S ribosomal RNA
Rfam family: Bacterial large subunit ribosomal RNA
Source: RNAcentral